Molecule: non-coding RNA, 7260 nt
Organism: Oryctolagus cuniculus (rabbit)
Lineage: Eukaryota; Metazoa; Chordata; Mammalia; Lagomorpha; Leporidae
Source: RefSeq, a predicted model, not a curated record
AGAUCCGGAAGCAGAAUUCCAGAAACGGGAAGGUAUUUGCCCAAAGCCACGAGGGUGACUUUAGUCGUAAGGCCCCAUCAUGAAUAUGUCUUAGAAUAUGCGUCCUUUUAUGCACUGAGUUCGUUCGUCCUGUUGUGUGCGCUUAAUGGCCAAGAGGUUUCAUUUAACGCUUCUUCCAGCGCAUAAAUCCUGAGGCUUAGUUGGCUAUUUUGUGCCUUCGGAGGUCUGAUGUACCAUAUCCUAGAUUUAUCUGCUGUAACCUAUGACCAGUGAGGGGGUGAGCGCAGGUUCAUAUUACCUGUUUUGUGCCACAGAGCACUGAGCCAGGUCAGGGGAGACUCAUGUAAGUGGAUUAUGAUUUCCAUCUUAGAUUUUGCAGAAUACUGGGAUAAACAUACUGGGAUUCAAAGGAUUAGAAAGUUGGAGGGGAGAGGAAAGGAGAGAUUUCAAACGUGAUCAGAUCUGGCAACAGUGGAAAAUGGAGUGAAGACAAGGCAGGGAAACUGAAUAGGAUACUGCUGAAGGGGAUGAAGAUUACAGCUGGGGGAAUAGAGAUGAGGAGGUAAAUAAAGAGGCUAACAAGAGGCCAAACACAGAAUUGUUGGAUAGCUAGUUAUGGGAGUCAAAAGAGGAGGAGAAAUUAAGGAUGAUCCCCAAGUUCCAGGUUUGGCAACUCAGUGAAUCGAGAUAACAUUUUAAUAUAACACAGGGGAAGAGGAGCAGUUAGGAGGUAAGCAUUGAAUAUGUUGAAUUAGAGCUGUUUAUAAGUUAUCUGGACAGAAGUGUGGGUUCCAGAAAUAUUUAGGACACAGAAUCAACAGUACUGGAUAAAAAAUGGCAUGUAAGGUUGAGGGAAAUCAAGACCACAGUUAAUCUCACAGGCCGCUAGUGUGGGUAGCGAUAUUGAUUCUUAAUCCUCAACAGAGAAAUCAGAAGCGGGGGGGUUAAUUAAGUGGGCAAAGGUGAUGAGCUCAUCUCUGCCUAAUUUCAUGUGCCUGUGGAACAUCUAUGCAAUCAGUAGAUGGAGACGUUGAGAGACAACCCACAAAGAGAAUUGGGCUAACCUUACAGGAGUUUCAUUGCCCUAUGCAUAAUAGCAAAAGCUGGAGGAGUGGACAAAAUCACUCAGAAUUUGCAGGAUGAAACAACCAAAGAGCUAAAGACCAAACUCUGAGGAACUGCAAAACUUAAAGGAAAGAAAUUGGUGGGGGGGUGGGGGGUGGGCUCCACUGUGGCAUAGUGGGUAAAGCCACCACCUGCAGUGCUGGCAUCCCAUCUGGGCUCUGGUUUGAGACCCAGCUGUUCCACUUCUGAUCCAGCUCUCUGCUGUGGCCUGGGAAAGCAGUAGAAGAUGGCCCAAGUUGUUGGGUCCCUGCAACUUUGCCUUUCAAAUAAAUAAAUAAAUCUUAAAAUAAAAAAGAAAAGAAAAGAAAGGAGUUGGAAGAAGGAACUGCCAAGUACAUGAAGAAGAAAUAAUAUGACCCCCAACCCCCAUCUCAGAUUUACACCCCAGAUUGCUAAAUCACCCAGAGGCUCAGAGACUUGGCCAGGAGCACCUGUAAAUGACAGGUGGGGCCAGGGCUACGAUUCAUGCCCUCUUCCCAAAUACUGGGGAACUUUGUUCCCACCCUCUCCCCACUUCCUGUCACAUUUAUCUUGGUGCAAACUGCAUUCAUUUUAAACAUGUUUGUCAACAUCCUCAACACAGGCGCAGAGAUACCACCUUUCUACAUCCAACAAAUGUGCUUAUUAUUCAUUCCUUAGGCUGCAUUUGGGACCUGGCCAUGGGUUCCAAAAGUCCCUUUCACAUUCCCCAUCAUGGCGUUCAUGAAUUCUUAAUAAACUAGCUAUUUAUGAGGCUCCCUGUAGCUCACACUGAGUCCCUUGAGAGGAUGAGUGCAUUUUGUUCCAUUGCCUGGCAUAUAGAGCUUCCGAAAGGUUUCUUGACCAGCUGAAUGAAUUAACAAAUUAUACGCUCUACUUCACAAACCUGCAUCCUGGGCAGAGAUAUUGAACUGAGGCUUGUUCUGUUUUUAAUAAGAUGUAGUGAGGAAUCAAAGAAAACCCAGGGGACUUGGAGUCAGAGCAGAGUAUCUUAACAGCACGACUCUGAUUCUUUCUAACUGAUACUUCAAACCAGUAAGUCUUCGUUUCUGUUUGGUUCUCUGUUGCUGCCAACCAAACCACCUUGGGAGAUUCACUAUGGCUCACUGGUUCUGCCUGGCAGUUGAUUCUGGCUUUCAGCUGAGAGGUCAGCUGGAACUGUUGGCUGGAGCCCUUGACAUGUGACCUUUCCAUAUGGAUUUCACACCUUACUGUGUGUUGGCACGUUUCUGAGAGGGAGCGCCUAAGUGGGAGCGCUUCCAGAGAAAUGAAGUGGGAGCUGCAAGUCUUUAAAAUGAGGCGGAAAAGGAGUUGCAGUAAGUUCUGCCACAUUUUAUUGGUUAUCAUAGAGCUAGCUCAGAUUCAAGUGAAGGGGAAAUGAACUCCAUCUAUCAAUGGAGGGAGUGAUAAAGAAUUAGUGGCCAUCUUAACCCACCACUCUUUCCAUAGUAAUACUUGAUCUGCCAUGGUCACAAGGUGGUUGUGAGACUUAAAAAGUCUGAAUCACAUGAGAGCACUUUGUUAAAUUCUAAAGAGGUAAAUACAUGUUUUUAUUUUUUUCUGUCCCACACCUUUCUCUACAACUGUGGCACAGAAGCAGUCUUCCAGGCCACAGGGGUAGGUGUGUGACCCAGACUGUACAAACUGCAGUACUGUCUCUCCCUUGCCAUUGUGAUUGACCCAAGAAUUGGGUCCAUCACCUAAAUUGGGCCAAUUAGUUUUUCACAGGAAUUUUUUUUUAAAGACUCUAUUUGAAAGGCUGAGUUACAGCAAGGCAGAGGCAGAGAGAGGUCUUCUGUCCACUGGUUCAUUACCCAGAUGGCUGCGAUGGCUGGAGUUGGGCCAGUCCAAAGCCAGGAGCCAGGAGCUUCUUCCAGGUCUCCCACGUGGGUGCAAGAGCCCAGGGACUUGGGCCAUCUUCUGCUGCUUUCCCAGGCCAUAGCAGAGAGCUGGAUUGGAAGUGGAGCAGCUGGGACUCAAACCAGUACCCAUAUGAGAUGCCAGCACUGCAGGCGGUGGCUUUACCUGCUACACCACAGUGACAGCCCCCGGAAUUUUUCUUACUGGGGCCAGCAGAGUUCAUGUUGGGAUAUGAACCUGGAGCUUCCUCAGGUAACUUCCCCAACGUGUGAUUCCCCAGGAGCUGAUCUGAACGAUGGAUUCCGUCCUACAGCAGCAGCAUGUGGAACGAAUCUGGCCAGCAUUCAAGUGCCUGCGUUGAAUAUGGUUAAGAUCUUGGACCCAGCAUUGGACUGCCUGGUUCCUUCCUUCAAUCAAGAAUGAAGGUGACAUAAGGUGUGGACAGAAAUUCCUUGUCCCAUGAAAAACUCUCCAAAGAAUGCAUGGGUGAAAAGAGGCAGAGUUACAGAGAGAGAGUGAGAGGAAGAAACAAGAGAGAUCUUCUAUCUGCUGGCUCACUCCCCAAAUGGCCACAACAGGCUGAAGCUAGGAGCCAGGAGCUUCAUCUGGGCCUCCCACGUGGGUGCAGGGGCCUAAGUACUUGGGCCAUCUUCUGCUGCUUUCCCAGGCACACUAGCUGAGAGUGGGAUGCCUAUAUGGGAUGCCUGCUUAACCCACUGUGCUACGGUGCUGGUCUCUGAAUUAACACUGUUAAUCAUAGAAGUGGUUCUUGAUAAAAACAUUAGUUCAGUCCCACCCCUGACCCCCAGCCACUCUUGCCCUUUGUUUUUCCACAAUGGGAGGACACAACUCCUUGACCUCAGACUUCCCAGCCUCCAGAACUAUGAGAAAUGAAUUUCUUUUCUUUAUAAAUUAUACCAUCAAGGGUAUUCUGUUAUAGCAACAGAAGACUAAGAGCACUUCACAAUGCUAUCUAUUUAGUAAAAGUUCAAUAAAGGUAGGCAGUGUUAAGCACAGAAUCCCUAGGGCCAGAGCACUGUAGGGGCUGCUGUAUGAAAGUGCAUAAGCAGGGACUUGGAAGCAGCAGGCAGCACAUUAGUCCCACCUGCUCCCUACUCUUGCACCAAUUCUUUGGGCAAACAUAAGCAAUGAACAGGUUGCCUCCAUCUGAGAGGACUUCAGGGAGUUCUAGGACAAAGGAUAGAUAAACAGUUUUCAAGUAUUCCAGUUUUUUUAAAAAAUCACACCUUAGAUCUCAGCUUCAGCUAGAUGAUGCCCAAGGUCCAUUAAAACCUAAGUUUUAAAAAUACACAAGGUACAAAAUCCAAAAUGUGUGAAAGGAUUUAAGCACAGUGCAGUGAAAAGUAAGUCAUCCUCCCACCCUGUCCCAUCUCCCCAGAGGAAACCCACAGUAUAUAACUAGGUUCCUCUACAGUGUGUUCUAAAUGCAGAAUGUGAAACCUCCUUCCAGAACAUUCCAUGCUCCUUUAAACCUUUAAAAAAUAGCUGUAUAUGUUCCCUUUUAUUCAGUUUGAUAAUAUAGCUUCCAUGGCUAUCAUUGCUAGUCUGAUGAUGACCCCACCAGCUGCUCACAAGCAAAGCAUGGUGCAGAACACUCUGGGGAGCAUCCAACGCAAGAACAUGGAGUAGAUAGCACACAGAACAUACAGGCGGGGCUGGGGUAGCAGCUGAGAGUGCCCUGCUCACAUGCUGAUGCAGCCCUACCCACCCAGUCUUGCUUUUUCUUUCAUUGCCUUGACCACAGAGAUGCAAGAUAAUGCUGCAUUAGGCGAGAUCCAUGUGAUUAGCAGGUGGGAGAGAGGAAGCCACCCAUGCAUGCUGGUCAGAGGCAUGAAAGGGCUGUCUCCUUCUGUUCCAAGGGCCAGGAGAGAUGUCUGCUAGUGCUGGGAGGAGGUAAAGCUCAACUAGAAAGUGAACGGGAAUGCAAGGCACAGAGCGUCACCCACAUUGGAGGCUGGGAAACUGAGAAUGUAAAUGCUUUUCCCGCUCCUGAUUCUCCAGAAGAACCUACUUGUGUAUUCUUGCCAAAGGCGGCUUCAUUACUUUUGCUGUUCCACAUAUUAUCCCCUUCCAAUAAUAUGGUAUGUGUUGAUUGUUGAUUUUGCUGAGAUGUCCUCAUGGGGCUGCUCAGCCCCAGUUUUACAGCAUGGUCUGAUUUCAGUAAUUUUAUAAGGCCAGCUCAUUAGAGCUGAGUUGAGGGGCCCCAGAACAGAAAAAUAAUCUGCUAAGCCAUCCAUUUAAAAUGACAAUAAUAAAAAUGUUGAUAAACAUCAAUAUUUGCACCAUGGUUUACGAUCACCUUUAACGAACAAUUCUGCUGUGAUCGUUGAAUGAUUUUCUUUAAUAAAUGACUUCCCUGUUGUCAGAUUUGAUCUUGACUCAAUGUGAUUAUGCAACCCUACCAUGUGUGCGCUUGAAUUUAAAAGCCUCUUGGCUGAGUUCCACAACUGAACUCAAGAGUUAGAUUCUUUAAGGAUUUUUUAAGUGAUCAUCACCUUUAUGCAUAAUUUGAGGUGGAGGUUGUUGUAAAUUUAAGUUGGAAAAUUAAAAUCUUUUUGGGAGUCAGGAUGGUAGCUGAAUAAGAUGCUCCACCAAUCUUCUCCCCCAAAAGACAGAAAUUUGAACAGCUAUUCACUCACCAAUGUACCUUCACAAGAGCUGGGGAAGCAGGUGAGAUACCACAGUGCCUGGUUUUAGUAUAACAGUAAGAAAAGAUGUGUUGAAGAAGGCAGAAAGAAAAGAGUUGCCCAUGACUUCACUUCCCCAGCUCCAAGCUGCACACUUUGGAGAGACACACCUCCCACUUGGGUGAGGGAAGGUAUUAUUAAGUCCAGAACUUAGUACCAGGUCCACCAUGGUGAAACCUAGUGACAGGCAGAGGCUCCACAGCCCCUGUCUCCAAGUCAGUACCCAGGCAGCCAAGUGACUGCUUCCACCAUCAACCCCUGCCACCACCCCACAACAUUGGGCAGCACCAUGUGGCAGAAGACUGGGUGUGUGAGAAUUGAACAGGAAAGUGAGCAAAGACUAGAUGUUGCAAAGCAUAGGAGAAACAUGGUGGCAUUACUAAGAAGGGAAAUAAGUGCAGAGCAUCUCUUGUUGUCUUGAUAAUAAGCCUGAACCUAGAGGGCCUUGCUCGGCAGGGAAAGGGUGAACAGAAACCCCCCUUCCCCGACCCCCACCCCCACUCAUGCUAUAGACACUUGAGGCAUUUAUCAUGAGAGGAUCCUGUGGCUCUCGCAGGCCGCAGUCUGGGAGACUAUUGGGUUACCACAGCUCUGCAUUGCCUCAGAGAAGGAGCUCAGCCCAUGUUGUGCCUUCCUCCACCCAGGUUCUGGUUUAUGGAACCAUAUCGAGACCCCCUGUCCCCAACACACUACCAGUUCCAUUGACCAAGUUCUGUGAACCAUCCAGAAUGCCCUCCCAUGGCCCAGGGAAGAAUCCAGGGAGCACAUCCUACAGCCUGCAACAGCCCCCCAGAAAACAGUUGGGCAUCCACACCACCUUCUUUCUUUCUGCCCCAGAAACAGCCUGGUGGCCUCACUCAUGAAUCCCCAAUCCAGGAAGCAACCAGAUGACCAACCCAGAGUGACUAGGCCCACAGCAGCCCAAGGAAGUUGAUGAGCAGUCCUGCCCACUCACCCACAACCCUGAGAAGAGGCCAAACAGCCUUUCUUCAGUGACUCGGCUUCCCAAAGUCCCUGGGAAGUAACAAGGCAGCCCUACCCUCCCUCCUGUGACCCCCAGCAGCUGUUGAACAGCUGUUCUCAGAAGCACCACCCACUGCAGCUCUGUAAAGCAGACCCACAGCCUCACCACCCUCCUUCAGCCCCGGGAAGCAGCUGGAGGACCUCCCUGAGCAGGUGGCCCCUGGAAGCCCCACGAAGUCACCUGUGUAGCCCUUGGACACUGGCAGGUACCCAUCUAGGUACACCAGUGUGCCUGGCUCCCAUGCGGCUUCAGACACUGAUGGGCAACCCAUCCCAUUACCAGGCACACUGAAUCACACCCACCUGGGCCUAGAGUGGGUGGUGGUUUCUACCUCACGUGUCCCUUAGAAACUGAUGGGCACCUCACACUUACAGCCAGGCACACCACACCCAGAACUGCCGGUGAAUCCGCCUUACCUAAGGGAAUUGCAUCCUAACUGGCAGUGAAGUCACAGAACUCUUGCAGCUUAAGCCACUGAGACGCACAGACAUCACCAACUUGAUUACAGCUGAAGGAGCUACAGAUACUACCCUGAAGCAUCCUGGAACCAGAGCCAAUGCAACA